RNAcentral lists this transfer RNA (84 nucleotides) under Candidatus Ryanbacteria bacterium. RNAcentral's name for it is "tRNA-Leu". It matches the Rfam family "tRNA". From Rfam's summary of the family: Transfer RNA (tRNA) molecules are approximately 80 nucleotides in length. Their secondary structure includes four short double-helical elements and three loops (D, anti-codon, and T loops). Further hydrogen bonds mediate the characteristic L-shaped molecular structure. tRNAs have two regions of fundamental functional importance: the anti-codon, which is responsible for specific mRNA codon recognition, and the 3' end, to which the tRNAs corresponding amino acid is attached (by aminoacyl-tRNA synthetases). tRNAs cope with the degeneracy of the genetic code in two manners: having more than one tRNA (with a specific anti-codon) for a particular amino acid; and 'wobble' base-pairing, i.e. permitting non-standard base-pairing at the 3rd anti-codon position. The record is from RNAcentral. Lineage: Bacteria; Candidatus Ryaniibacteriota.
GCCGAGGUGGUGAAAUUGGCAGACACGCCCCGUUCAGGGCGGGGUUCCCGUAAGGGAUUGAGGGUUCAAAUCCCUCCCUCGGCA